This is a non-coding RNA of Podarcis lilfordi (Lilford's wall lizard), 102 nucleotides long. Lineage: Eukaryota; Metazoa; Chordata; Lepidosauria; Squamata; Lacertidae. The record is from the annotation of a GenBank genome assembly.
GCUCUGUCGUGGUUAUUGGGGAGUUUAGAUCUUGAAUCUUUUCAAUACUUUUUUUUUUGGAAAAGAUUCAAGAUCUAAACUCCCCAAUAACCACGACAGAGA